This 2908-nucleotide ribosomal RNA is filed under the name Escherichia coli. RNAcentral describes it as "bacterial LSU rRNA". The record is from RNAcentral. Lineage: Bacteria; Pseudomonadati; Pseudomonadota; Gammaproteobacteria; Enterobacterales; Enterobacteriaceae.
UUAAGCGACUAAGCGUACACGGUGGAUGCCCUGGCAGUCAGAGGCGAUGAAGGACGUGCUAAUCUGCGAUAAGCGUCGGUAAGGUGAUAUGAACCGUUAUAACCGGCGAUUUCCGAAUGGGGAAACCCAGUGUGWUUCGWCACACUAUCAUUAACUGAAUCCAUAGGUUAAUGAGGCGAACCGGGGGAACUGAAACAUCUAAGUACCCCGAGGAAAAGAAAUCAACCGAGAUUCCCCCAGUAGCGGCGAGCGAACGGGGAGSAGCCCAGAGCCUGAAUCAGUGUGUGUGUUAGUGGAAGCGUCUGGAAAGGCGCGCGAUACAGGGUGACAGCCCCGUACACAAAAAUGCACAUGCUGUGAGCUCGAUGAGUAGGGCGGGACACGUGGUAUCCUGUCUGAAUAUGGGGGGACCAUCCUCCAAGGCUAAAUACUCCUGACUGACCGAUAGUGAACCAGUACCGUGAGGGAAAGGCGAAAAGAACCCCGGCGAGGGGAGUGAAAAAGAACCUGAAACCGUGUACGUACAAGCAGUGGGAGCACGCUUAGGCGUGUGACUGCGUACCUUUUGUAUAAUGGGUCAGCGACUUAUAUUCUGUAGCAAGGUUAACCGAAUAGGGGAGCCGAAGGGAAACCGAGUCUUAACUGGGCGUUAAGUUGCAGGGUAUAGACCCGAAACCCGGUGAUCUAGCCAUGGGCAGGUUGAAGGUUGGGUAACACUAACUGGAGGACCGAACCGACUAAUGUUGAAAAAUUAGCGGAUGACUUGUGGCUGGGGGUGAAAGGCCAAUCAAACCGGGAGAUAGCUGGUUCUCCCCGAAAGCUAUUUAGGUAGCGCCUCGUGAACUCAUCUCCGGGGGUAGAGCACUGUUUCGGCAAGGGGGUCAUCCCGACUUACCAACCCGAUGCAAACUGCGAAUACCGGAGAAUGUUAUCACGGGAGACACACGGCGGGUGCUAACGUCCGUCGUGAAGAGGGAAACAACCCAGACCGCCAGCUAAGGUCCCAAAGUCAUGGUUAAGUGGGAAACGAUGUGGGAAGGCCCAGACAGCCAGGAUGUUGGCUUAGAAGCAGCCAUCAUUUAAAGAAAGCGUAAUAGCUCACUGGUCGAGUCGGCCUGCGCGGAAGAUGUAACGGGGCUAAACCAUGCACCGAAGCUGCGGCAGCGACGCUUAUGCGUUGUUGGGUAGGGGAGCGUUCUGUAAGCCUGCGAAGGUGUGCUGUGAGGCAUACUGGAGGUAUCAGAAGUGCGAAUGCUGACAUAAGUAACGAUAAAGCGGGUGAAAAGCCCGCUCGCCGGAAGACCAAGGGUUCCUGUCCAACGUUAAUCGGGGCAGGGUGAGUCGACCCCUAAGGCGAGGCCGAAAGGCGUAGUCGAUGGGAAACAGGUUAAUAUUCCUGUACUUGGUGUUACUGCGAAGGGGGGACGGAGAAGGCUAUGUUGGCCGGGCGACGGUUGUCCCGGUUUAAGCGUGUAGGCUGGUUUUCCAGGCAAAUCCGGAAAAUCAAGGCUGAGGCGUGAUGACGAGGCACUACGGUGCUGAAGCAACAAAUGCCCUGCUUCCAGGAAAAGCCUCUAAGCAUCAGGUAACAUCAAAUCGUACCCCAAACCGACACAGGUGGUCAGGUAGAGAAUACCAAGGCGCUUGAGAGAACUCGGGUGAAGGAACUAGGCAAAAUGGUGCCGUAACUUCGGGAGAAGGCACGCUGAUAUGUAGGUGAAGUCCCUCGCGGAUGGAGCUGAAAUCAGUCGAAGAUACCAGCUGGCUGCAACUGUUUAUUAAAAACACAGCACUGUGCAAACACGAAAGUGGACGUAUACGGUGUGACGCCUGCCCGGUGCCGGAAGGUUAAUUGAUGGGGUUAGCCGCAAGGCGAAGCUCUUGAUCGAAGCCCCGGUAAACGGCGGCCGUAACUAUAACGGUCCUAAGGUAGCGAAAUUCCUUGUCGGGUAAGUUCCGACCUGCACGAAUGGCGUAAUGAUGGCCAGGCUGUCUCCACCCGAGACUCAGUGAAAUUGAACUCGCUGUGAAGAUGCAGUGUACCCGCGGCAAGACGGAAAGACCCCGUGAACCUUUACUAUAGCUUGACACUGAACAUUGAGCCUUGAUGUGUAGGAUAGGUGGGAGGCUUUGAAGUGUGGACGCCAGUCUGCAUGGAGCCGACCUUGAAAUACCACCCUUUAAUGUUUGAUGUUCUAACGUUGACCCGUAAUCCGGGUUGCGGACAGUGUCUGGUGGGUAGUUUGACUGGGGCGGUCUCCUCCUAAAGAGUAACGGAGGAGCACGAAGGUUGGCUAAUCCUGGUCGGACAUCAGGAGGUUAGUGCAAUGGCAUAAGCCAGCUUGACUGCGAGCGUGACGGCGCGAGCAGGUGCGAAAGCAGGUCAUAGUGAUCCGGUGGUUCUGAAUGGAAGGGCCAUCGCUCAACGGAUAAAAGGUACUCCGGGGAUAACAGGCUGAUACCGCCCAAGAGUUCAUAUCGACGGCGGUGUUUGGCACCUCGAUGUCGGCUCAUCACAUCCUGGGGCUGAAGUAGGUCCCAAGGGUAUGGCUGUUCGCCAUUUAAAGUGGUACGCGAGCUGGGUUUAGAACGUCGUGAGACAGUUCGGUCCCUAUCUGCCGUGGGCGCUGGAGAACUGAGGGGGGCUGCUCCUAGUACGAGAGGACCGGAGUGGACGCAUCACUGGUGUUCGGGUUGUCAUGCCAAUGGCACUGCCCGGUAGCUAAAUGCGGAAGAGAUAAGUGCUGAAAGCAUCUAAGCACGAAACUUGCCCCGAGAUGAGUUCUCCCUGACCGCAUCACUGGUGUUCGGGUUGUCAUGCCAAUGGCACUGCCCGGUAGCUAAAUGCGGAAGAGAUAAGUGCUGAAAGCAUCUAAGCACGAAACUUGCCCCGAGAUGAGUUCUCCCU